RNAcentral lists this ribosomal RNA (792 nucleotides) under Bacillus subtilis. RNAcentral's name for it is "bacterial SSU rRNA". It matches the Rfam family "Bacterial small subunit ribosomal RNA", at positions 32 to 806 of the family's 1533-position model. The record is from RNAcentral. Lineage: Bacteria; Bacillati; Bacillota; Bacilli; Caryophanales; Bacillaceae.
AACGCUGGCGGCGUGCCUAAUACAUGCAAGUCGAGCGGACAGAUGGGAGCUUGCUCCCUGAUGUUAGCGGCGGACGGGUGAGUAACACGUGGGUAACCUGCCUGUAAGACUGGGAUAACUCCGGGAAACCGGGGCUAAUACCGGAUGGUUGUUUGAACCGCAUGGUUCAAACAUAAUAGGUGGCUUCGGCUACCACUUACAGAUGGACCCGCGGCGCAUUAGCUAGUUGGUGAGGUAACGGCUCACCAAGGCAACGAUGCGUAGCCGACCUGAGAGGGUGAUCGGCCACACUGGGACUGACACACCGCCCACACUCCUACGGGAGGCAGCAGUAGGGAAUCUUCCGCAAUGGACGAAAGUCUGACGGAGCAACGCCGCGUGAGUGAUGAAGGUUUUCGGAUCGUAAAGCUCUGUUGUUAGGGAAGAACAAGUACCGUUCGAAUAGGGCGGUACCUUGACGGUACCUAACCAGAAAGCCACGGCUAACUACGUGCCAGCAGCCGCGGUAAUACGUAGGUGGCAAGCGUUGUCCGGAAUUAUUGGGCGUAAAGGGCUCGCAGGCGGUUUCUUAAGUCUGAUGUGAAAGCCCCCGGCUCAACCGGGGAGGGUCAUUGGAAACUGGGGAACUUGAGUGCAGAAGAGGAGAGUGGAAUUCCACGUGUAGCGGUGAAAUGCGUAGAGAUGUGGAGGAACACCAGUGGCGAAGGCGACUCUCUGGUCUGUAACUGACGCUGAGGAGCGAAAGCGUGGGGAGCGAACAGGAUUAGAUACCCUGGUAGUCCACGCCGUAAA